UACAGAGGGUGCGAGCGUUAAUCGGAAUUACUGGGCGUAAAGCGUGCGUAGACGGCUAUCUAAGUCGGGUGUGAAAGCCCCGGGCUCAACCUGGGAAUUGCAUUCGAGACUGAAUAGCUAGGGUGCGGUAGAGGGAAGCGGAAUUUCCGGUGUAGCGGUGAAAUGCGCAGAUAUCAGGAGGAACACCAGCGGCGAAGGCGGUGCUCUGGGCCGGAACUGACACUGAGGAGCGAAAGCGUGGGUAGCAAGCAGG
Molecule: ribosomal RNA, 253 nt
Filed under: uncultured bacterium
Lineage: Bacteria
Description: partial 16S ribosomal RNA
Rfam family: Bacterial small subunit ribosomal RNA
Source: RNAcentral